This 1017-nucleotide long non-coding RNA is filed under the name Homo sapiens (human). Its description in RNAcentral is "non-protein coding lnc-DSG1-14:1". Lineage: Eukaryota; Metazoa; Chordata; Mammalia; Primates; Hominidae. The record is from RNAcentral.
ACUCGCUCUCCGUCCCGGCCGCCCAGCGGUUCCCCUUUCCGUGGCCUGGGCAGGCGCUGAGGCACAGGGAGCCGCACGUUCCCGAGGCACAGGGAGCCGCACGUUCCCGAGGCACAGGGAGCCGCACGUUCCCGGGGAAGGUGCCAGAGGCCAGCUGGACGGCCCCGGCGCACUCCCGCCCCGGCGCACUCCCGCCCCGGCGCACUCCGACCCCGGCGCACUCCCGCCCCGGCGCACCCUGCUCCCCGGCGCGUACCCAGGGGCCACGAUUUUGGCUGGGCGAAAGCGGCCCGCUCCCGCCUCUCCUUGAGUGCGCUGAUUACAUCUACCGGAGACACCUUCCCUUCCCUUGGGGAUCCCAACUCUCAGCUCUUCAGAAAGCAAUGACAAGGCAUCUGACUCAUCCUCCUGCACCUCUUUUCAAUUACUGACUUAAACCAGAUUACAGUUGCUGUCAGGCUUGAAGACUGAGACUUACUGAUACGUGUAUCCUAGAAGUACCUGACACAGUAACACACUGCCUUACCUUGGUCUUGCUCUGCUGCCCAGGCUGGAGUACAGUGGUGCAAUCUAGUUCACUGCAGCCUCAAACUCCCGGGAUUAAGCAAUCCUUCCACUUUAGCUUCCCAAGUAGCUAAAGUUCCAAGUAGGGACUACAGGCAUGCACCACCAGUUCAGGUAGAGAAGUAAAACGAACGGAAGAAACAAAGUGGAAGAAGUCCCAAGCAUAUUCUGAGUAUUUAAAAUCUCCAAAGGCAUUUCGCCCAUUCCCCUAACAAUUAAACUUGAGCUUAUUCUAUGUGUAUAAAUAUAUAUUUGUUAUUUAAGACUUUCCUUUAAAACUUUUUAUUGAUACAUAAUUGUAUAUGUUUAUGAAGUAUAUGUGAUAUUUUGAUACCUGCAUACAAGGUUUAAUGACCAAAUCAGAGUAUCCAUUACCUCAAACAUUUAUUAUUUCCUUGUGUUGAGAAUAUUCCAAAUAUUCUCUUUAACAACUUCCUUAUUUUCAUUAUCCAG